CACCAACUCCUGUCAAUCGUGACUACUCCUAUCACCGAUCCACCGCCACCGUCUACUCCUGAAUCUUCUUCAGAUUUGAAUCCGUCUUCUACUCCAGAUGCGUCUUCUCAUAGUCCGUAUUAUUUUCAUCACAAUGACACUGCCAUUCUUGUUCUUGUUACAGAACUCCAUACUGAUGAAAACUACAUUUCUUGGAGUCGUUCUAUGCUGAUCGCUCUUUCUAUCAAGAAUAAACUUGGUUUAUUGAUGGCACACUUCAGAAACCUACUGGUGAUCUUUUGCCUUCGUGGAUUCUGAAUACUCACGUUGUGAUUGCAUGGAUUUUGAACUCUGUUUCAAAAUCGAUCUCUGUUAGCCUCAUUUUUUCUGAUUCGACGCGCGAUACAUGGGUUGAUCUGAAGGAACGUUUUCAGUGUAAGAACGGUCCUCGAAUUUUCCAACUCAAGCGCGAUUUAGCCACAAUCAAUCAAGAUCAGCUUUCUGUUUCCAUGUAUUUCACACGAUUGAAGAACAUUUGGGAUGAAUACGCUACUUAUCGACAAAGUUGUUCUUGUGGAGGAACAACAGCGGUCCAUUCCUCUUUUUCCGACGCUUCUCCGGCUCUUUCUCUUGCCGUUGGCCAAUCUUCUCGUGCUGCUUCAUCUACUUCAUAGCCUCCUAUUACUCGAUCGAGAAAGCCUCGUUCUAUUUGCACGCAUUGUGGUCUCUUAGGCCACACCAUUGAUGGAUGCUACAAGUUACACGGAUAUCCCCCUGGAUACCGCAAAUGAGUAUGUUGCAUCAAUUGCAAUCACAGUUUGCUGCUACAAAGACUAAUUCUCCAAAUUCUAGCUCCUCUUAUAUCGCAGGUACUUGCCCUAACAUACACUUACCCACAUCUUGUACUCAUCGCUGGAUUUUUGAUUCUGGAGCAUCAACACAUAUUUGUUUUUCUCGAGAAUUGUUUCAAUCUUUGUAUCUGGUUUCAAUUGCUGUGAUUUUGCCUGAUGGAACUCAGUUGCCUGUAUCUUCUGCUGGGACUGUUAUGCGUUUUAGAUCUGUUAUUCUAAAACAUGUUCUUUAUGUUCCUUAAUUUUGUUACAAUUUGCUUUCCAUCAGUGCUCUCACCACGGAUGCUUCUUUUGUUGUUCAGUUCUCUACUGAUUUUUGUGAUAUUUAGGAAAGGUCCAUUUUGAGGACAAUUGGCAGGGGUAAGAAUUAUGAUGGCCUUUAUCUGCUUGAGAUGCCUGCUACGGUUGCUGUCCAACCUUCUGUCUCGGUUCAUGCUGUCAUGGCUCGUGCAUCCAGUGCUUUAUGGCAUUCCAGGCGUAGACAUCCCUCUCACUCUCGUUUACAUGCAUCGAAGUCUGUGUUACCUUUUGUUGACUCUGAUGUUUCACAUGACCAUUCUUGUGAUAUUUGUCCUCUUGCUAAACAGAAGAGGUUAUCAUUUAGUUCUAAUAAUCGUUUGUCAGCUACUGCUUUUGAUCUUGUUCAUGCUUUGGGGCCCCUUUGCUACCCCUUCUUAUUCUAGUUAUAAGUACUUUCUUACAAUGGUUGAUGAUUGUACCAUAUACACUUGGGUUUAUAUGUUGCGGAGAAAAUCUGAUGUUUUGACUAUUAUACCACAGUUUUUUAA
This is a long non-coding RNA of Momordica charantia (bitter melon), 1618 nucleotides long. RefSeq lists it as uncharacterized. The record is from RefSeq and is a predicted model, not a curated record. NCBI's taxonomy places the organism in Eukaryota, Viridiplantae, Streptophyta, Magnoliopsida, Cucurbitales, Cucurbitaceae.